UGACUUCAAUGAAACACAUGACUAACUGU
This 29-nucleotide small RNA is filed under the name Bombyx mori (domestic silkworm). RNAcentral describes it as "piRNA piR-bmo-1299764". The record is from RNAcentral. Lineage: Eukaryota; Metazoa; Arthropoda; Insecta; Lepidoptera; Bombycidae.